RNAcentral lists this non-coding RNA (133 nucleotides) under Nitrospira sp. The record is from RNAcentral. Lineage: Bacteria; Pseudomonadati; Nitrospirota; Nitrospiria; Nitrospirales; Nitrospiraceae.
UUUCGAUCGUCAUCAGUCAAUCGCUAGGUGAGUCGGAUAGGGAAAGAGGGUGCGAGUCCCUCGCGGAGCCGCCACUGUGAUCGAACCGUUGGGGUUCGACAGCCAGAUCGCCUAUCCACUCCAUGUUCCACCA